RNAcentral lists this small nuclear RNA (42 nucleotides) under Kryptolebias marmoratus (mangrove rivulus). Lineage: Eukaryota; Metazoa; Chordata; Actinopteri; Cyprinodontiformes; Rivulidae. The record is from RNAcentral.
GUGUUGUAUGAAAGGAAAGAAGGUUAGCACUCCUCUUGAUUA